AGAGUUGUAAUGUUGUAUUGAACAUGGGAAUUGUGACAUAGCAUGAAGUUAAAUUAAAAAUGUGGAUUAUUUCUGCCCCUAGGUACAGUUCCUCCAUAUGUAAAAAUGCUUAUAUCUGAGCAGAUUGCUUCAUCCAGAUGAGGAUUUGUUCCAUAACCCAAUCUUUCCACCUUCAUGGAUUGUACUUUUCUCUUCUCAGGAGAUUUGAACUCUCUCAACUCUUGAAACUGUUGACCUGGAAUCAACCACUUAGAGAAGCAUGGGAACAGCACUUGACAUACACACCACCAAUGAGAGUUUCUUAAACAUGGUCCUGAGGACUGAUGGAAAAUAAAAUUUGAACCUAUAGUCCAUGACACUUCUGGCAGCAGGAAAAGUCCUCAAUAGCUUCUUUCAUCACUAGCCAUAUGGGGGACAUGGAUGUGACUCCUAGUUCUUGAGUAUGCUUCUGGUGCUUAUACAUAUCCAAGGGCUACCUCUGAGAAGCAGGAUUUACAAGUUGGGAGCUGCAGUUUCUAUAUGAAGAAAGUCAGUAGAAAUAAGACAUGUUACAGAUCUUCAGCGUGAAGUGGAGGAUCUCCUCCUUGCAAGCUGUAUGGGAACUGCUGAAUCACAUCCUGAACCUCUGACUGAUCACCUGAGUGAGCAGUGAGUCAGCCAUGGGAGCACAGGUGAAGGCAAUUCACCUGUGCUGCCGAAGGGAUGGAGCCUGGCUGCACCUCUCCUAUACCCAUUUAAGAGCUGACUGCCAGUAGGGAAGGAUCUCUUCUGGAGAUCCACUUUGCUGAAGUUUCAUAAGUGAGCCUAGGAUACAGCAGAGCUGCGGAGUGCCUCACAGUCAGUGAAAGGAGAAGGAUGCAGUGGAGAGAAGCAGUAGGCAGACAAAGGCUGAGAUGUGAUAGUAUGCUGUAUGGGAAAUACUGAAUCACGGCCUGAACCUCUGAUUGAUCACCCGAGGCAAGCAAUGAGUCAGCUGUGGGAGCACAGGUGACGGCAAUUCACCUGUGUGAUCAGAAGGGGCAGAGCCUGGCUCCACCUCUACUAAACCUUAUUUAAGGGCUGACUGCCACUGAGGAAGGAAACUCUCUCCAAAGAUUGUUCUUCUUGGAGUCUUUCUUUGUGAGCCUAGGGCACAGGGAUCAACCUUCCUGCUCACAGGCUUCCAUGGCCAUGCAGACAUUUUUUUUUAAACUCCUCUUCGAGUUCCAUGUGGCAAGAAACAGCCGUUUCUGUUCUAAACUUGGCUCCACAUGCUCUCAGGUCAAUCAUGUCACUCUGAUGGAGUAAAGGUCUAAAGUAGGUCAUUGGAUAUUCACACAGUACUUCAUCAGAGCCAUCUUCCAAGGACAGGCUAUAGCACUGAAGAAAUGAGUGUGAGUCAAGAUUGCUAGUUAGUUCUCUGUCAAACUCAAGCUAUCCUGGAAUAAUCAAAUAUCCAACAUCUACAUAGAGAGCUUGGCCUGCUGAUGAGAAUUCCUUUUUGGAGUAGGAAUGACAAAGGAACGCAGCAGCAGGAAACUAGAGGUUUAUGAGCCAGGCAAGUAAAAGCAGUGCUAGGGCUCAGUACUCAUCUUCCAACGUUUUGCAAGACAUCCACUUGCUUAUCUACAGGACUGGAGGAGAAGAUAGAAAGAUCCAAUGCUGAGGUAAUUGCUUUGCCAGACUUUAUAGUCUUCUGACCACACUUCAGUUCUAAAACACAAAAAUCAUGUGGAAAAGAAUCUUUACAGAUGAUUAAGUGGCCUGAAGUCUCAUGGAUGCAUUCAGAUAUUAUGGGAGUCAUUAACAUGUUAAAAUAAGGAAAAUGUCAUGAAUUUCUCCUGGAGAUACAGGAUUCUAAAAUGAUGGUAGUAUGUUCCUAUUAUACAGUUUACUUCAUAUUUUUAUUGUGUGAAAAUGCACAUCCCCAGAAUUUUACACACAAAUUGGUGCCUCAUGAUUCUUCCUUCCACGUGAAAGCAAUAAUUGAGCCAUAUUUUCAGUAAGUUGAGCUCCAUAGAUAUAUAUCUGUACAUACGUGUGCAAAUCCCAAAGCUAUCCUUGUAGCCAAAUGUUUUGAUGUCUGUUACUUGAAUGUAAAUGUUGCAGACAGGGGUAAAAACACAAGUAUGUUUUGUGCCAAAUUAUAGGUCUCAGUUUCCUGGGAAAUUUGAGCGUAUGAAUUCAAAUUUAUAUGAACAAUAUAUCUAUUGAUACGUUAUCUCUCUUUGGGCAUAUUCAAGUGAGAGACACUGGCUCUGCAGUUGAGAAGCUCCUUAUUAUUUAAAUGAUCAGGCACCCAAAUGUAAUUUUCUGUCUUGAAACACUGCGGUGUCAUUGCACUCAUUCCCUGAACCACAAAACAUGUGUUGGAUUGCUUCAGGCAGCAUAUUUUGCAGGGACUCCUCAGCAUGCUCUUCUUUUUGCAGACCUGUUAUACAUUAUCACUCUGGUCACAGGGAGGCAAUAGGAAAAGCGUAAGCUUUGCAAAUAGACGUGUCUGACACACAGCUCUCCCUCUGUUAUACGGAAAUCUUUAUUUACAAGUUUACAUUUUGCAUAAAGUUCCUCAUCAGCAUAAAAUCUCUUCCUCCAGCCUUGCAGAGUGAGGGGAAUGUGGACACAUUCUCUUUGAAGUUAUGAAGUUCAUUCACAACAGUUGGUGGUACUCCCAGCUCUUCCAAAGAAUCACAGAAUCAUUUGGGUUGGAAGGAGCCUUUAAAGGCCAUCUAGUCCAACUGCCCAGCAGCAGGACACCUGUAGUUAGGGCACUAGCUUCCCAGAGCUGCUCUUCUUGCCUGUCAGGGCAGACAGGUUCCUCUAUAUAAUAUGUCAGCUGAUAUGGAUUAUGGCAAAAGUUACCUCAGCUUUCUGGCUAAAGAAUAAGCAAAAAGCUGUCCACUUUCCUGGCGAAAUUCAAGCUGUGCAAACAGACCUUUUUUCUUGCAGCGAUUUCUGCUGACACCUUUCUGACAAAGAAGGAUGCCACAGGAUGAGGAGGAGCACCUGGUGCCUUCUCCAUUCUAACUUGCACACUGUCAUUAGAGAGUAAUUUUAUAAACAAAGAUUUUUCAGGAUGUAUUUCAGAUUUGCAAAGCAUGGUAUUAUCUCCAUCCUCCUUCUAGUCACGUGUUCUGCCCUUUGGAAAGACUGCACACUGUCUACUGCUGACAUCUGUUUUGCUUUUCAGUACAUGAUCAGAAAUGUAAAAAGGAGGAUUUUUGAACGGAGACGGUUCCCACCUUCAGCUGACUUUCCAGAAUGCAGUGGAAUUGACCGACUUCGUCUCUCAGAGCAGGAGAGAGCACUGCCAUCUAUCGACUGGGUCGCUGCAUAACGCUUCUUCUGACAUUUAAAGUGCUUUGGCAGUUUGGGAAUGCGUCAGAACACCCAGUAGCGUUCCUAAGUUCCUGUUUUGAUGCACCAUGCUUCGGUGACACGUUCCCGAGAUAGAAAAUAGCUACUGCCCAUAAUUCAAGUGUGAUGCUUUUAAGCACUGCAAUCUAAAACAUGGGGCAGGGGAGAAAAAAAGCCUUUCAGUUAUUUCUUCCUAAUAUUUGACUUAGGUCCUUCCUGGUAUUUGACUUUGCAGCUACAUAACAAAAUGCAGAUGCAUAUAAUAAACAGAAUUAUCUACUCCCACACAUAAAUUUUGUUUACUAAGCAGACGGAAGCAAGGCCCCUUUGUUACCUCUUGUACACAUCCGAACACUUUGUAGAAUCAUAGAAUUGCUCAGAUUGGAGAAGACCUUAAAGAUCAGUGAGUCCAACCACAAGCUAACCAUACUUCCCGAACUAAAAACCCUCUGCUAAAUCACGUCUCUGAGCACCACAUCCAAAUGCUUUUUAAACACAUCCAGGGACGGUGACUCAACCACCUCCCUGGGGAGCCUAUUCCAGUGCUUAACAACCCCUUACUAUAAAGAAGUUUUUCCUGAUAUCCAACCUAAACUUACCCUGGCACAACUUGAGGUUGUUUUCCCUCAUCCUGUCACCAGUGAGAAGACGCCAGCUCCACUCUCGCUGUAAGCACCUUUCAGGUAUUGAAGCGAGCAAUAAGGUCUUCCCUCGGCCUCCUUUUC
Long non-coding RNA from Tympanuchus pallidicinctus (lesser prairie-chicken), 4061 nucleotides. RefSeq lists it as uncharacterized. The record is from RefSeq and is a predicted model, not a curated record. NCBI's taxonomy places the organism in Eukaryota, Metazoa, Chordata, Aves, Galliformes, Phasianidae. The transcript has 6 exons.